Molecule: ribosomal RNA, 529 nt
Filed under: uncultured Acinetobacter sp.
Lineage: Bacteria; Pseudomonadati; Pseudomonadota; Gammaproteobacteria; Moraxellales; Moraxellaceae
Description: bacterial SSU rRNA
Rfam family: Bacterial small subunit ribosomal RNA
Source: RNAcentral
AGCAGGGGGGAAUAUUGGACAAUGGGGGGAACCCUGAUCCAGCCAUGCCGCGUGUGUGAAGAAGGCCUUAUGGUUGUAAAGCACUUUAAGCGAGGAGGAGGCUCUUUUGGUUAAUACCCAAGAUGAGUGGACGUUACUCGCAGAAUAAGCACCGGCUAACUCUGUGCCAGCAGCCGCGGUAAUACAGAGGGUGCAAGCGUUAAUCGGAUUUACUGGGCGUAAAGCGCGCGUAGGCGGCCAAUUAAGUCAAAUGUGAAAUCCCCGAGCUUAACUUGGGAAUUGCAUUCGAUACUGGUUGGCUAGAGUGUGGGAGAGGAUGGUAGAAUUCCAGGUGUAGCGGUGAAAUGCGUAGAGAUCUGGAGGAAUACCGAUGGCGAAGGCAGCCAUCUGGCCUAACACUGACGCUGAGGUGCGAAAGCAUGGGGAGCAAACAGGAUUAGAUACCCUGGUAGUCCAUGCCGUAAACGAUGUCUACUAGCCGUUGGGGCCUUUGAGGCUUUAGUGGCGCAGCUAACGCGAUAAGUAGACC